RNAcentral lists this ribosomal RNA (301 nucleotides) under uncultured bacterium. RNAcentral describes it as "partial 16S ribosomal RNA". It matches the Rfam family "Bacterial small subunit ribosomal RNA", at positions 509 to 807 of the family's 1533-position model. The record is from RNAcentral.
CAGUCGCCGCGGGAAUACAGAGGGUGCGAGCGUUAAUCGGAUUUACUGGGCGUAAAGCGUGCGUAGGCGGCUUCUUAAGUCGGAUGUGAAAUCCCUGAGCUUAACUUAGGAAUUGCAUUCGAUACUGGGAAGCUAGAGUAUGGGAGAGGAUGGUAGAAUUCCAGGUGUAGCGGUGAAAUGCGUAGAGAUCUGGAGGAAUACCGAUGGCGAAGGCAGCCAUCUGGCCUAAUACUGACGCUGAGGUACGAAAGCAUGGGGAGCAAACAGGAUUAGAGACCCCCGUAGUCCCUGUCUCUUAUAC